This is a long non-coding RNA of Marmota monax (woodchuck), 632 nucleotides long. RefSeq lists it as uncharacterized. The transcript is spliced from 3 exons. The record is from RefSeq and is a predicted model, not a curated record. NCBI's taxonomy places the organism in Eukaryota, Metazoa, Chordata, Mammalia, Rodentia, Sciuridae.
CUUUCCCUGGGAACUAGGGAGCCCGGGGCGGGUGGCCGUCUGUUUGUCCCCCUCCCCGCCCCGUUGUCUCCUCCCCUGGAGCCCUAGGAGAGCUUCAAGCAAGGGGCUCUGGUGAAAUUAGAACCAGUGUUCUAAAUUAAGGGGAGCAGAUGUCCCUGUUUUGCUCGGGAGGCCUGGGUGGCCUGCUGUUCAGACUGAAAUCGUUGAGGCGCUGACCUUCCGGGGCUGCUGUCAAUCUCCGCGUGCAGAUGGCCAGCCUGAAGCCCUGCCUGCUCCUCUGCAUUGGAAAUGCGGCAGCCGGGAGAUCCGGGCAGCUUGAGAGAAAGACUUAGCACCGGUGUCGUCCCUGGCUUGGACCAGACUCACUGGAAACUUCUAUCUGAGCCCUCAGGAGAGGUCUGCAGCGCCAGUCUAAAAAUAGAGGACUGUGCCCACACCGUUGACCUGCCGUGACAAUAGAGGGCGUUGUGUGUCUCCCUCUCCUUUCGUCUGCACUGGAAUGAUUUCCACAGAGAAGCCCACGUUCAAGGCUAUUUCCCUCCCUAUGUAACCCUGAUGGAGGCCUCGCGAAUUUGCUUGCAUUGUCUCAAAAAAUGUACAGAUAUCCAGGAGACACUCAGGGGUUGCUCCAU